CCCUUAGAUGUUCUGGGCCGCAUGCGUGCUACACUGAUGCAUUCAACGAGUCUAAAACCUGGUCUGAUAGGGCUGGGUAAUCUUUUGAAAGUGCAUCGUGAUUGGGAUAGAUGAUUGCAAUUCUUCAUCUUCAACGAGGAAUGCCUAGUAAACGCAAGUCAUCAGCUUGCAUUGAUUACGUCCCUGCCCUUUGUACACACCGCCCGUCGCUCCUACCGAUUGAAUGAUCCGAUGAAUAUCAUGGAUUGAGAGUACGAAUGGGUUCGCUCAUUUCUGCUGCUCGAGAAGUGAAGUAAAUCUUAUCAUUUAGAGGAAGGAGAAGUCGUAACA
Molecule: ribosomal RNA, 330 nt
Filed under: uncultured eukaryote
Lineage: Eukaryota
Description: partial 18S ribosomal RNA
Rfam family: Eukaryotic small subunit ribosomal RNA
Source: RNAcentral